GAUGAACGCUGGCGGCGUGCCUAAUACAUGCAAGUCGAGCGCACGGACCCGAAGCUUGCUUCUCGGUUGUUAGGGGCGGACGGGUGUGUAACACGUGGAUAACCUACCUAUAAUUCUGGGAUAACUUCGGGAAACCGGUGAUAAUACCGGAUAAGAUCUUGAACCGCAGGGGUCAAAAGUGAAAGACGGUCUUGCUGGCACUUAUAGAUGGAUCCGCGCUGCAUUAGCUAGUUGGUAAGGUAACGGCUUACCAAGGGAACGAUGCAUAGCCGACCUGAGGGGGUGAUCGGGCACGCUGGAACGGGGACACGGUCCAGGCUACUACGGGAGGCCGCAGUAGGGAAUCUUCCGCAAUGGGCGAAAGCCUGACGGAAGGACGCCGCGUGGGUGAUGAAGGUGCUCGGUUCGUAAAACUCGGUUGUUAGGGAAGAACAUAUGUGUAAGUAAAUGUGCAUAUCUUGACGGUAGCGAAUCAGAAAGCCACGGGUAAAUACGUG
RNAcentral lists this ribosomal RNA (497 nucleotides) under uncultured bacterium. RNAcentral describes it as "partial 16S ribosomal RNA". It matches the Rfam family "Bacterial small subunit ribosomal RNA", at positions 28 to 507 of the family's 1533-position model. The record is from RNAcentral.